ACUACAUAGGUAACGAUACUGCGGACUUACGUAGUACGAUGCAUCGUUAAACGACGCAGGUGUUUCCCGAAACCAUAGUUCGAACGAACGUUCGCAAACACUGUCGUUAUGUUGUUCGCGAUCAGCUCGCGAUCUAUAGUUAGAAGCGUAGUUCCAUGUAAAUUCGUCAGCGAUGGUGGAAAAUGCAGUUUUCGUAUAUAGUCACCGUGUAAGUAAGAAAUGUAAUAAUGUUUAAUACAUAAUAAAGAAUAAUUUAGCCUUACGAUCACAUAUAAUGUUAAGUUGUCUGAAAAUGUAUAUUGAAACGCAGAGCUCGAAAAGCUCAUGUAGCAGAAGGACUGUCAGGCACCUACGAUAAAUAUCUAACUUUAACACAAAUUUGAUAAACAUAUUAGCGGUAUAACAGACCCUGGUUGAUCCGUAUGGACCCCCCCGGCCCCCGUAUGUGAAACGCAGAUUAACUGCACAUGUUAACCGUGAGUGUGAACGGUUUUAUUGCCGCUGUCACUUUUUAAACUUAAAAUAAUCUCUUACAAAAGAGAAUACCUCGGUUAUGUGUGAAACACGAGAAUUUUAAUUUUUCUGUCAGAAUGCAAUAACAAAAAACUGCACGAAUGCAAUAACAUGAUAGCCAUGGCAUUUUUAGUGAAAUCCGCUUCCCUCCUCGUGACACAUGCGUCGCCUGUCUAAUCACAACUAUUCUAUUUUUCAGAGAUAAUUUAUUUUAUGAUCUUGAGAAACAACUUUUGCUAUAUUGAGAUCAUAAGGAAAAUAAGUCGUGAUCUCUACAUAAGACAGAAAAAGACAUUGAUGUAUUCAUCUAUAGACGUUGGUCCAAUGCAGAAUUGCAGUAAUGAAAAGACGGAGAUAGAGCAGUCUGUGUUCAUGUGAACGGGCAUGUUAAAAGUUCACCGCUUUGAGUUUUCUUUCAGUUCUUUAAGUAAUAAAUGGAAAGCAUAGUCUAUCUAUCUUGGCGGUUAAAAUUUGAAAAUGACAGCUCGCGCGCUUGCUCACCCAGUCCGUAAAGAACUCACGUUGACACUGAAUAUGAACAGUCUGCUAAAAAUUUAACUUUGCUAUCUCAUGAUCUCUUCGCCACUCCAGCACCACAAUAUUUAUUCAACCUGCGACAUGUUCAGAAUAAAAAAAAAUGUAACAUUAUUCCACUAAUAAGUUGGUAAGUAGUUUCAUUGUUGGCACCGGUGACAAGUCUAUAUCGGCUAUGGAUUGAAUUAUCCAGUUAUCCGGAAGGUUUGGACGCGAUAGCACGUCCCACUUUCGCUGAGGUCACACUUCCAAAUUCUGAGACCAGGGCCAUUUCUUGCGGUGGAAACGCAUGGAACUAGUUCCGGAUUGGGGAGAAGUCCGGCACCACGUUGGUGGAAAUGAGGCAUCUGGAAGUUGAAUGAGACGCCAACUUAUUCUAGUGUACAUGAGCUUUACCCUGUACGCAGCCGCAAACCGUAUCUGACCGUAAUACGGAUCUGCUGACUUGGGGGCGGACCCGGCCUGGAAUUGACUGCUUUCUGGGAGGAAGAGAAAUAAGGAGAAAAAACUACAAUCAAAUACAGUAAUUGCUGUCUGAUGGCUGAACAAAAAUCUAGUCCUGUAUGGCAGCAUUUCACCAAUCCAACACCACGAAAAGCCAGGUGCAAUAUCUGCUGCAGGCUGGUGAGCCUGGGAGCUGAAGGAGUAGUUUGCUGCUAAAGGGAUUCUGGUGCUGCUAUUUUUAUUGUUUAUAAGUUUAAGUUGUUUACAAGUUGUAUUGUGUUUUUGUUAUUUAAGUUUAUAUUUAAAUUUACACAAGUCAGUAUUCAAUAAAUGCUAAGUUGAGAAA
Molecule: non-coding RNA, 1837 nt
Organism: Paramormyrops kingsleyae
Lineage: Eukaryota; Metazoa; Chordata; Actinopteri; Osteoglossiformes; Mormyridae
Source: RefSeq, a predicted model, not a curated record